This 363-nucleotide RNase P RNA is filed under the name Nitratireductor sp. RNAcentral describes it as "partial RNase P RNA component class A". It matches the Rfam family "Bacterial RNase P class A", at positions 66 to 367 of the family's 367-position model. From Rfam's summary of the family: Ribonuclease P (RNase P) is a ubiquitous endoribonuclease, found in archaea, bacteria and eukarya as well as chloroplasts and mitochondria. Its best characterised activity is the generation of mature 5'-ends of tRNAs by cleaving the 5'-leader elements of precursor-tRNAs. Cellular RNase Ps are ribonucleoproteins. Lineage: Bacteria; Pseudomonadati; Pseudomonadota; Alphaproteobacteria; Hyphomicrobiales; Phyllobacteriaceae. The record is from RNAcentral.
ACACGAUGCCGGAUAACUUCCGGCCAGGGAAGGGAUUGAUCCGGAAACGGGUUUUCCUGGAACCUGAGGGAAAGUGCCACAGAAAGCAGACCUCCGCAGCAUGCUGCGGGAAGGGUGAAAGGGUGGGGUAAGAGCCCACCGCACCUCCGGCAACGGCGGUGGCAGGGCAAACCCCAUCGGGAGCAAGACCGAAUAGGGACAACGCGCCAGCCCGAAAGGGCAGGCAGGCAUGUUUUCAAGCCAGUUGUCCGGGUGGGUCGCGCCGAGGCAUCCGGUAACGGAUGUCCCAGAGGAAUGGCCGCCGCGUCCGUGCAGGAAACUGCAUGGGCCAUACAGAACCCGGCUUACAGGCCGGCUGGUGCU